GUCCGACUCCCGUAGGAGUCCGGAUGAAGUCCACCUGCAACCAGAGUUCGGGGAUGAAGUCCGGCUCCCGUAGGAGUCCGGAUGAAGUCCACCUGCAGCCGGAGUUUGGAGAGAAAGUCCGACUCCCGUAGGGGUCCGGAUGAAGUCUACCUGCAGCCGGAGUUCGAAGAAGAAGUCUGGCUCCCGUAGGAGUCUGGAUGAAGUCUACCUGCAG
RNAcentral lists this long non-coding RNA (214 nucleotides) under Elaeis guineensis (African oil palm). RNAcentral describes it as "long non-coding RNA (EGUI_LNC071757)". The record is from RNAcentral. Lineage: Eukaryota; Viridiplantae; Streptophyta; Magnoliopsida; Arecales; Arecaceae.